This 409-nucleotide ribosomal RNA is filed under the name Motilibacter peucedani. RNAcentral describes it as "bacterial SSU rRNA". It matches the Rfam family "Bacterial small subunit ribosomal RNA", at positions 353 to 772 of the family's 1533-position model. The record is from RNAcentral. Lineage: Bacteria; Bacillati; Actinomycetota; Actinomycetes; Motilibacterales; Motilibacteraceae.
AGUGGGGAAUCUUGCGCAAUGGGCGAAAGCCUGACGCAGCGACGCCGCGUGGGGGAUGACGGCCUUCGGGUUGUAAACCUCUUUCAGCAGGGAAGAAGCCGCAAGGUGACGGUACCUGCAGAAGAAGCACCGGCUAACUACGUGCCAGCAGCCGCGGUAAUACGUAGGGUGCAAGCGUUGUCCGGAAUUAUUGGGCGUAAAGAGCUCGUAGGUGGCGGGUCACGUCGGGUGUGAAAGCCCGGGGCUUAACCCCGGGUCUGCAUUCGAUACGGGCUCGCUAGGGUCCUGCAGGGGAGACUGGAAUUCCUGGUGUAGCGGUGAAAUGCGCAGAUAUCAGGAGGAACACCGGUGGCGAAGGCGGGUCUCUGGGCAGGUACCGACGCUGAGGAGCGAAAGCGUGGGGAGCGAA